UACGUAGGGUGCGAGCGUUGUCCGGAAUUAUUGGGCGUAAAGAGCUCGUAGGCGGUCUGUCGCGUCUGCUGUGAAAACUCAGGGCUUAACCUCGAGCUUGCAGUGGGUACGGGCAGACUAGAGUGCGGUAGGGGAGACUGGAAUUCCUGGUGUAGCGGUGAAAUGCGCAGAUAUCAGGAGGAACACCGAUGGCGAAGGCAGGUCACUGGGCCGCAACUGACGCUGGAGGAAGCGGAAAGCAUGGGGAGCGAACAGG
Molecule: ribosomal RNA, 256 nt
Filed under: uncultured bacterium
Lineage: Bacteria
Description: partial 16S ribosomal RNA
Rfam family: Bacterial small subunit ribosomal RNA
Source: RNAcentral